RNAcentral lists this long non-coding RNA (942 nucleotides) under Homo sapiens (human). RNAcentral describes it as "HSALNT0384650". The record is from RNAcentral. Lineage: Eukaryota; Metazoa; Chordata; Mammalia; Primates; Hominidae.
GAUAGGGUAGAGGCAGAAGUAGACGCAAUUAAACAUGAAGGAUUGUGAAGGCAAAAGAUGAACCAGCCAGCCUAGUCUCUGGAUGCAUAAGCUCCAAGUGUGGAGGAGACCCGGAGAGAAAAGCAGACUGUUCUCUGUGUUUACCUGUAAGCACAGGCCGCAACCUGCCAUGCUGUUUUUAAAUGCCCAAGAGCUGGUGACAAGAGGGUUUCCCUUUGCCAUCUGGACCUGAUUGCCUUAGAGCAUCCUACCCAGCUUCUAAUCUAAGCUCAAACACACCCUCCUUCAGGAAGAUUUGCUGUUCUACCUUCUCCCCACCAAGCAGAGUGAAGGGAUUCUUCUUUGGAACUCCCACUCUCCUUUAUUUAUCUCCAGAUGGAUGAAAAAGGAAGAGGGUUUCUGUUUUGCUAAAAGCCCUCUGUGAAAGUCGACAUUGCAAACCACAGUGACACGUGGAUAAAACUCACGUUGUUGGGGGGAGAAGAGCAAAACAUAUGCUUCACAAUAAAAACACUCAGUAUCCUAGGAAUAGGAGGGAACUUCCUCAACCAGAUAAAGGGCAUCUAUGAAAAACCCAGAGCUAACAUCACACUUAAUCGUGAAAGACUGAAAGCUUUCCCUCUAAAAUCAGAAACAAGAAAAGGAUGUCUACUACUGCCACUGCUAUUCAACAUUGUUCUGGAAAAUUCUAGGCAGAACAAGUAGGCAAGAGAAAAGAAGAGGUAUCCAGAUUGGAAAGGAAGAAAUAAAACUGUCUCUGUUUGACAGUUGUCAUAACCUUGUACAUAGAAGAUUAUGAAGAAGCUACCAAAAACUAUUUGAAUGACUAAACAAGUUUAGUAUGGUUGCAGGAUACAAGAUCAAUAUGCAAAAACCAGCUGUAGUUCUUCUAUAUGUUGAAAAGAAGAAAAUUUAGAACGAAAUUAAGAAAAAUUCAUUCAC